CAGUCGCCGCGGUAAGACGAACCGUGCAAACGUUACUCGGAAUCACUGGGCUUAAAGCGCACGUAGGCGGCGACAUAAGUUAGAGGUGAAAUCCCAUCGGCUCAACCGUGGAACUGCCUCUAAUACUGUGUUGCUUGAGGGAGAACGGGGCAUUCGGAACUUCCGGUGGAGCGGUGAAAUGUGUUGAUAUCGGAAGGAACGCCGGUGGCGAAAGCGGAAUGCUGGGUCUCUUCUGACGCUGAGGUGCGAAAGCUAGGGUAGCGAACGGGAUUAGAUACCCGGGUAGUCCCUGUCUCUUAUA
RNAcentral lists this ribosomal RNA (301 nucleotides) under uncultured bacterium. Its description in RNAcentral is "partial 16S ribosomal RNA". It matches the Rfam family "Bacterial small subunit ribosomal RNA", at positions 509 to 808 of the family's 1533-position model. The record is from RNAcentral.